AGGCCCAUAGCUCAGGGGUAGAGCGGCGGUCUCCAAAGCCGCGCGUCGGGGGUUCAAAUCCCUCUGGGCCUGCCA
RNAcentral lists this transfer RNA (75 nucleotides) under Candidatus Peribacteria bacterium. Its description in RNAcentral is "tRNA-Trp". It matches the Rfam family "tRNA". Rfam says of the family: Transfer RNA (tRNA) molecules are approximately 80 nucleotides in length. Their secondary structure includes four short double-helical elements and three loops (D, anti-codon, and T loops). Further hydrogen bonds mediate the characteristic L-shaped molecular structure. tRNAs have two regions of fundamental functional importance: the anti-codon, which is responsible for specific mRNA codon recognition, and the 3' end, to which the tRNAs corresponding amino acid is attached (by aminoacyl-tRNA synthetases). tRNAs cope with the degeneracy of the genetic code in two manners: having more than one tRNA (with a specific anti-codon) for a particular amino acid; and 'wobble' base-pairing, i.e. permitting non-standard base-pairing at the 3rd anti-codon position. Lineage: Bacteria; Candidatus Peregrinibacteriota; Candidatus Peribacteria. The record is from RNAcentral.